UUAUUAGGUUGCUGCAAAAGUAAUUGCAGUUUUUGCAUUACUUUAUUACAAAAAUCACAGUUACUUUUGCACCAACCUAAUA
Molecule: microRNA precursor, 82 nt
Filed under: Nomascus leucogenys (northern white-cheeked gibbon)
Lineage: Eukaryota; Metazoa; Chordata; Mammalia; Primates; Hylobatidae
Description: miRNA (ENSNLEG00000027148.1)
Source: RNAcentral